RNAcentral lists this ribosomal RNA (484 nucleotides) under uncultured bacterium. Its description in RNAcentral is "partial 16S ribosomal RNA". It matches the Rfam family "Bacterial small subunit ribosomal RNA", at positions 28 to 507 of the family's 1533-position model. The record is from RNAcentral.
AUUGAACGCUGGCGGCAUGCUUUACACAUGCAAGUCGAACGGCAGCGCGGGCUUCGGCCUGGCGGCGAGUGGCGAACGGGUGAGUAAUGCAUCGGAACGUGCCCAGUAGUGGGGGAUAGCCCGGCGAAAGCCGGAUUAAUACCGCAUACGACCUGAGGGUGAAAGCGGGGGACCGAAAGGCCUCGCGCUAUUGGAGCGGCCGAUGUCGGAUUAGCUAGUUGGUGGGGUAAAGGCUUACCAAGGCGACGAUCCGUAGCUGGUCUGAGAGGACGACCAGCCACACUGGGGCUGAGACACGGCCCAGACUCCUACGGGAGGCAGCAGUGGGGAAUUUUGGACAAUGGGGGCAACCCUGAUCCAGCCAUGCCGCGUGCGGGAGGAAGGCCUUCGGGUUGUAAACCGCUUUUGUUCGGGAAGAAAUCCUCUGGGCUAAUACCCCGGGGGGAUGACGGUACCGGAAGAAUAAGCACCGGCUAACUACGUG